RNAcentral lists this ribosomal RNA (301 nucleotides) under uncultured bacterium. RNAcentral's name for it is "partial 16S ribosomal RNA". It matches the Rfam family "Bacterial small subunit ribosomal RNA", at positions 509 to 807 of the family's 1533-position model. The record is from RNAcentral.
CAGUAGCCGCGGUAAUACGUAGGUGGCAAGCGUUGUCCGAAAUUAUUGGGCGUAAAGGGCUCGCAGGCGGUUUCUUAAGUCUGAUGUGAAAGCCCCCGGCUCAACCGGGGAGGGUCAUUGGAAACUGGGAAACUUGAGUGCAGAAGAGGAGAGUGGAAUUCCACGUGUAGCGGUGAAAUGCGUAGAGAUGUGGAGGAACACCUGUGGCGAAGGCGACUCUCUGGUCUGUAACUGACGCUGAGGAGCGAAAGCGUGGGGAGCGAACAGGAUUAGAUACCCGGGUAGUCCCUGUCUCUUAUAC